AAACGAUACUCGCUAGGUGUCGGCCACGGUGCGACCGUUGUCGGUGCCGUAGGGAAGCCGUGAAGCGAGCCACCUGGGAAGUACGGCCGCAAGGCUGAAACUUAAAGGAAUUGGCGGGGGAGCACCACAACGGGUGGAGCUUGCGGUUUAAUUGGAUUCAACGCCGGAAAUCUUACCGGGACCGACAGCAAUAUGAAGGCCAGGCUGAAGACUUUGCCGGAUUAGCUGAGAGGUGGUGCAUGGCCGU
This 247-nucleotide ribosomal RNA is filed under the name uncultured Methanosarcinales archaeon. RNAcentral describes it as "partial 16S ribosomal RNA". It matches the Rfam family "Archaeal small subunit ribosomal RNA", at positions 755 to 1001 of the family's 1478-position model. The record is from RNAcentral. Lineage: Archaea; Methanobacteriati; Methanobacteriota; Methanomicrobia; Methanosarcinales.